This 301-nucleotide ribosomal RNA is filed under the name uncultured bacterium. RNAcentral describes it as "partial 16S ribosomal RNA". It matches the Rfam family "Bacterial small subunit ribosomal RNA", at positions 509 to 809 of the family's 1533-position model. The record is from RNAcentral.
CAGUAGCCGCGGUAAUACGAAGGGGGCUAGCGUUGCUCGGAAUGACUGGGCGUAAAGGGCGCGUAGGCGGAUUGCGCAGUCAGAUGUGAAAUUCCUGGGCUUAACCUGGGGGCUGCAUUUGAGACGCGUAGUCUAGAGUGUGAAAGAGGGUCGUGGAAUUCCCAGUGUAGAGGUGAAAUUCGUAGAUAUUGGGAAGAACACCGGUGGCGAAGGCGGCGACCUGGUUUAUGACUGACGCUGAGGCGCGAAAGCGUGGGGGGCAAACAGGAUUAGAUACCCCUGUAGUCCCUGUCUCUUAUAA